This 259-nucleotide ribosomal RNA is filed under the name uncultured bacterium. RNAcentral's name for it is "partial 16S ribosomal RNA". It matches the Rfam family "Bacterial small subunit ribosomal RNA", at positions 524 to 776 of the family's 1533-position model. The record is from RNAcentral.
UACAGAGGGGGGCCAGCGUUAUUCGGAAUUAUUGGGCGUAAAGCGCGCGCAGGCGGUCCUUUUAAGUCUGAUGUGAAAAGCCCACGGCUCAACCGUGGAGGGUCAUUGGAAACUGGGGGGACUUGAGUACAGAAGAGAAGAGUGGAAUUCCACGUGUAGCGGUGAAAUGCGUAGAGAUGUGGAGGAACACCAGUGGCGAAGGCGACUCUUUGGUCUGUAACUGACGCUGAGGCGCGAAAAGCGUGGGGGAGCAAACAGG